CCCUACGGGUGGCAGCAGUGAGGAAUAUUGGUCAAUGGGCUUACGCCUGAACCAGCCAAGUCGCGUGAGGGAAGACUGCCCUAUGGGUUGUAAACCUCUUUUGUCAGGGAGCAAUUGGCGCUACGUGUAGCGUUAUCGAGAGUACCUGAAGAAAAAGCAUCGGCUAACUCCGUGCCAGCAGCCGCGGUAAUACGGAGGAUGCGAGCGUUAUCCGGAUUUAUUGGGUUUAAAGGGUGCGUAGGCGGAAUGCCAAGUCAGCGGUAAAAUCGCGGGGCUCAACCUCGCUCCGCCGUUGAAACUGGCGUUCUUGAGUGGGCGAGAAGUAUGCGGAAUGCGUGGUGUAGCGGUGAAAUGCAUAGAUAUCACGCAGAACUCCGAUUGCGAAGGCAGCAUACCGGUGCCCAACUGACGCUGAAGCACGAAAGCGUGGGUAUCGAACAGGAUUAGAUACCCGGGUAGUC
Molecule: ribosomal RNA, 461 nt
Filed under: uncultured bacterium
Lineage: Bacteria
Description: partial 16S ribosomal RNA
Rfam family: Bacterial small subunit ribosomal RNA
Source: RNAcentral